UCGAUUUGGAGUUUGUUGCCUAGAGUGAUGGGCUCCGAAGCUAACGCGAUAAAUCGACCGCCUGGGGAGUACGGCCGCAAGGUUAAAACUCAAAUGAAUUGACGGGGGCCCGCACAAGCGGUGGAGCAUGUGGUUGAAUUCGAUGCAACGCGAAGAACCUUACCUGGUCUUGACAUCCACAGAAUCUUGCAGAGAUGCGAGAGUGCCUUCGGGAACUGUGAGACAGGUGCUGCAUGGCUGUCGUCAGCUCGUGUUGUGAAAUGUUGGGUUAAGUCCCGCAACGAGCGCAACCCUUAUCCUUUGUUGCCAUUGGUUCGGCCGGGAACUCAAAGGAGACUGCCGUUGAUAAAGCGGAGGAAGGUGGGGACGACGUCAAGUCAUCAUGGCCCUUACGACCAGGGCUACACACGUGCUACAAUGGCGUAUACAAAGGGAGGCGACCUCGCGAGAGCAAGCGGACCUCAUAAAGUACGUCUAAGUCCGGAUUGGAGUCUGCAACUCGACUCCAUGAAGUCGGAAUCGCUAGUAAUCGUGAAUCAGAAUGUCACGGUGAAUACGUUCCCGGGCCU
Molecule: ribosomal RNA, 569 nt
Filed under: uncultured Gammaproteobacteria bacterium
Lineage: Bacteria; Pseudomonadati; Pseudomonadota; Gammaproteobacteria
Description: bacterial SSU rRNA
Rfam family: Bacterial small subunit ribosomal RNA
Source: RNAcentral